UCCAGCACGCAACGGUCGCCAUGGGCCUCGACGGCGCGCCGGUCUGCUCCAUCCCCAGUCAAAACCUCGAGUGGCCGUGCGUGAGGAGAGACUGCGGCCAGAACGACUGGAUUCACGCCGUCGUCAACAGCACCUGACGCCAUCAAGUUCCGCUGCUCCNNNNNNNNNNNNNNNNNNNNNNNNNNNNNNNNNNNNNNNNNNNNNNNNNNNNNNNNNNNNNNNNNNNNNNNNNNNNNNNNNNNNNNNNNNNNNNNNNNNNUUAUUCAAGGAGGUUGCCGCGCUAGAAGCAAUCGCUCGUCACGAAGCUUCGUAUCUUGCUGAGGAUCUUCUAAUUCAAGAUUUUAUUGUUGCCUCCUACCCGAAACAUGUGAUAAACGACAAUGAGAAGAGAACGAACAGUCGGUAUGGACAUAUGAUAGUCAAGCUCAAUUCAAUUGAAGGAUUCAUGGUCGAUUCAAUAUGAUUGGGUGGCAAAAUUAAUUUUCAGUGUUGCAAAUUAUAAAGUUAUACUACCUGAGCGCCACCAGGUCAAAGUUAUUUUUUGUUUGCCAAAGUAUGAAAUAUAUAAUGCAUGAAACUUCCCUAUCAAAAUCUUAGCAACAGUAAGAAACAGUUAAUAUAAUCUACUACCCCUAAAAAAGCAUAAAAAGACAGAUCCAACUAAGCAUAUUAGCCAUUGAUUACGUAAUCUAAUGGUNNNNNNNNNNNNNNNNNNNNNNNNNNNNNNNNNNNNNNNNNNNNNNNNNNNNNNNNNNNNNNNNNNNNNNNNNNNNNNNNNNNNNNNNNNNNNNNNNNNNNNNNNNNNNNNNNNNNNNNNNNNNNNNNNNNNNNNNNNNNNNNNNNNNNNNNNNNNNNNNNNNNNNNNNNNNNNNNNNNNNNNNNNNNNNNNNNNNNNNNNNNNNNNNNNNNNNNNNNNNNNNNNNNNNNNNNNNNNNNNNNNNNNNNNNNNNNNNNNNNNNNNNNNNNNNNNNNNNNNNNNNNNNNNNNNNNNNNNNNNNNNNNNNNNNNNNNNNNNNNNNNNNNNNNNNNNNNNNNNNNNNNNNNNNNNNNNNNNNNNNNNNNNNNUGGGGAACAGCGGCGCAUCGGCGGACAUCAUUGCAUGUGCAGCAUGCAGCGGCAGCGGCUGCAGAGCCACGGAAGAGCAGCGGUGCUAAGCAGGUGCAGGUUAGAAGGAGGCAGCACGGGNNNNNNNNNNNNNNNNNNNNNNNNNNNNNNNNNNNNNNNNNNNNNNNNNNNNNNNNNNNNNNNNNNNNNNNNNNNNNNNNNNNNNNNNNNNNNNNNNNNNUAUAAAAUAUGUGGGGUUCGCAACACAAAAUAAUGUCACACAUUAAUGCGAGAUAAUCACCUAUAUACGGGAAAAUACACUAGAGGGAAUUCCCUACACGUAAAAAUACAAAUGGCCGCUCUAAAAUGCAUGCAAAAAUGAUUCCUAAAACAUGAACAUUUCUAUUAUGGCAUUCGAGCAAUUCAAACACGCGUGGAAAAUAAAUGCGGGCACUUUCCUAUUGAGACAACACGCUUAUCUAGGCAAACAACAUGUUGAACGACGUCAAACAAAUGUGCAAGUUGUAAAAUCGGAUUCUACGCGAAAAAUUACACGAGAAACAUAUGCUACUCGUCGCAAUCCGAUACACGAGUUGAAAACUACGGACGUUUUAAUAUCGUCAUUUUUCUGGAAUUUAUUAAUUCCGAAAAAUUAACCUAAUUAUUCUAAUGGGCCGAACAGGUGGGCGCAGCUUAGCUAACAUGUCGCAUAGGUGACAGAUUAGAGGGCCAGGGAUCUCACCUUGGGCCGAGGGCGGCCUGGAGAGGAAUCGGUUGGAGGAGGAGGCCGAGUGGGCCGCUGCGGGAGCUGGGCCGGGGAAGUCGACUGGGCCGGGGGGCGCCCGAGCUGGCCUGGGGCGAGAGGCCCAGGCGCGCUGGAAGGGGCGGUCGCCCUCGUGGGCCGCGGGGAGCGAGGUGGGCCUCGGGCGAGGCCCAACUGGGGCACUCGUCGUGAUCCUCGAGCGCUGCUGGCUCCCGAGAGCCACAGGGGACGCUGGCGGCAGCGAGAUCCAACGGGGCCGGCGACCUCCAGCGAGGCGAGGGAGGCGAGGGGCGGCGCGGAUCCGGCCUCGAGCUGCCCGGAUCUGGCCGAGGAGCUCCGUCCCCGGCGACGAGGAACUAGGGCCGGCCGACUUCGGAGCUCGGGCUGCAGCAGGAGGUUCGCGGGGUCCUGAUGGCGGCUUCGGGGGCGCGGCGAGGGCAAGGCUCCGGUGGCGGCGCCUCGGGCAGGCGGCGACCGGCGGUGCUGGCGGCGGGGCACGACGGCUCGGGACGGCGGCGCUCGGCUGCGGCAGGAGGUGCGGGGAGCACGGGAGGCAGUGGUUGGCAGCGGCGCGCCGGAUGGGCCUGCCCGGGCCCGAUCUGGGCUCGGGGGGCCCGCGACGGCUGGUGGGUGGGAGGAGAGAGAGAGUACGGCUAGGGUUUCGGGGCGCGGAUCCCGAGGGAGAGAGAGAGGGUUUGUCUGAAUAAUGCAUGGGGGUCUAUAAAUAGACAAACGGGGGGGGGGGGGGCUCGGUUAACCGGAAUCGUGCUCCGGAUCCAACCGCGGGGUCGGAUUCGGACGAUUCCGAGCGCGGGUAUGGGUACGCGGCCGUGUAGAGGGGAUAUCCGGAGACGAGAGGGAGAACGGGCGGCCCGGCACGAAUUUUAAAACACCGACAGACGUCCGACGAAUAACCGAAGACGGUGCCGCUACGGGCGACCGUUCGGGUACCAGACGGUCUCCGAUCGCGACGAAAUUCGACAGGCAGCCUCGCUAUAACUAAUCUCGAUCGCACGUCAAAUCUCAACCCGAUGAGAGAAAGUUUUAAACGCACUUUAAAAACAGGGUUUCGACGGUGCCGCGGGCGCGUGCGUGUGCGGUCGGACUCAGAACGGACAACGACGAGGACCGGCAACUACUAGCGGAUGCAAGUUUUGAAAAACGGGCGGCAACGGAGACGCCGAUGCAAUGCAGAUGAUGCGCAUGAUGCGAUGAUGAUGCGGCGACUGAAAAUACCCACACGACNNNNNNNNNNNNNNNNNNNNNNNNNNNNNNNNNNNNNNNNNNNNNNNNNNNNNNNNNNNNNNNNNNNNNNNNNNNNNNNNNNNNNNNNNNNNNNNNNNNNGCAAGAGAGAUGGAGAGGUAGAUGAGUUCUCCGGCAGCGUGACGGUGCUCCGGAGGUUGGUGGUGAUCUUAUGUCGGCAGGGCUCCGCCCGAGCUCCGCAGAAACGCGAUCGAGAGGUAAAACCGUGGAGAUAUGUGGUCGGGUUGCCGUGGCAAAAGUUGUCUCAAAUCAACCCUAAUACCUCAGUAUAUAUAGGAGGGAGGGGGAGGGAAGAGGCAGCCUCAAACCCUCAAGGUUUGGCCGAAAUUGGAGGUGGAGGAGUCCUACUCCAAUCCUACUUGGAGUAGGAUUCCACCUUCCCACUUGGAAACUCUUUCCACCUUGUGUUUUUUCCUUCUCAAACCUUAUGGGCCUUAGUGGGAACAUAUUCCAGCCCACUAGGGGCUGGUUUACCUCUUCCCAUAGCCCAUGAGACCCCUUGGGGCGUGACACCCCUCCCGAUGGUCCUCGGCACCCCUCCCGGCACUCCCGGUACACUACCAAUGAGCGCGAAACUUUUCCGGUGACCAAAACAGGACUUCCUAUAUAUCAAUCUUUACCUCCGGACCAUUCCGGAGCUCCUCGUGACGUCCUGUAUCUCAUCCGGGACUCCGAACAACAUUCGGUAACCAACCAUAUAACUCAAAUACGCAUAAAACAACGUCGAACCUUAAGUGUGCAGACCCUGCGGGUUCGAGAACUAUGUAGACAUGACCCGAGUGACUCCUCGGUCAAUAUCCAAUAGCAGGACCUGGAUGCCCAUAUUGGAUCCUACAUAUUCUCCGAAGAUCUUAUCGGUUGAACCUCAGUGUCAAGGAUUCAUAUAAUCCCGUAUGUCAUUCCCUUUGUCCUUCGGUAUGUUACUUGCCCGAGAUUCGAUCGUCAGUAUCCGCAUACCUAUUUCAAUCUCGUUUACCGGCAAGUCUCUUUACUCGUUCUGUAAUACAAGAUCCCGCAACUUACACUAAGUCACAUUGCUUGCAAGGCUUGUGUGUGAUGUUGUAUUACCGAGUGGGCCCCGAGAUACCUCUCCGUCACACGGAGUGACAAAUCCCAGUCUCGAUCCAUACUAACUCAACGAACACCUUAGGAGAUACCUGUAGAGUAUCUUUAUAGUCACCAAGUUACGUUGCGACGUUUGAUACACACAAAGUAUUCCUCCGGUGUUAGUGAGUUAUAUGAUCUCAUGGUCAUAGGAACAAAUACUUGACAUGCAGAAAACAGUAGCAAUAAAAUGACACGAUCAACAUGCUACGUCUAUUAGUUUGGGUCUAGUCCAUCACAUGAUUCUCCUAAUGAUGUGAUCCCAUUAUCAAGUGACAACACUUGCCUAUGGCCAGGAAACCUUGACCAUCUUUGAUCAAUGAGCUAGUCAACUAGAGGCUUACUAGGGACAGUGUUUUGUCUAUGUAUCCACACAAGUAUUGUGUUUCCAAAUCAAUACAAUUAUAGCAUGGAUCAUAAACGAUUAUCAUGAACUAAGAAAUAUAAUAAUAACUAAUUUAUUAUUGCCUCUAGGGCAUAUUUCCAACAGUAUCCCACUUGCACUAGAGUCAAUAAUAUAGUUCACAUCACCAUGUGAUUCCAACGAAUCCAACACCCAUAUCGGGUCUGAUCACGUUUUGCUCGUGAGAGAGGUUUUAGUCAACGGUUCUGAAACUCCAGAUCCGUGCGUUCUUUACAAAUCUUUAUGUCAUCUUACAGAUGCUGCUACUACGUGCCAUUCGGAAAUGCUCCAAAUAUCUACUCUACUAUAUGAAUCCGUUUCACUACUCGUAGUUAUUUGGAUUAGUGUCAAAGCUUGCAUCGACGUAGCCCUUUACGACGAACUCUUCAACCACCUCCAUAAUCGAGAAAAAUUCCUUAGUCUAUUUAGUUACUAAGGAUAACUUUUGACCGCUGCUAGUGAUUCAAUCAUGGAUCACUCUCUGUACCUCUCAACAGACCUUGAGUCAAGGCACACAUCAGGUGCGAUACACAGCAUGGCAUACUUUAGAUUCUACGGCUAAGGCAUAGAAGACGACCUUCGUCUAUUCUCUUUAUUCUGCCGUGGUCGGGUUUUGAGUCUUACUCAAAUUUACAUCUUACAACGUAACCAAGAACUCCUUCUUUGUUGAUCUAUUUUGAACUCCUUCAAAACUUGUCAAGGCAUGCAUCUUAUUGAAACUUUCAUCAAGCGCUUUUGAUCCAUCUCCAUAGAUCUUUGAUGCUCAACGUUCAAGUAGCGCAAUCCAGGUAUUCCUUUGAAAACUCCUUUCAAACUACCUUGUAUGCUUUACAGAAAUUCUACAUUACUUCUGAUCCACAAUAUGUCAACCACAUAUACUUAUCAGAAAUUCUAUAGUGCUCCCACUCACUUCUUUGGAAAUACAAGUUUCUCAUAAACCUUGUACAAACCCAAAAUCUUUGAUCAUCUCAUCAAAGUGUAUAUUCCAACUCCAAGAUGCUUACACCAGUCCAUUGAAGGAUCACUGGAGCUUGCAUACUUGCUAGUAUCUUUAGGAUCGACAAAACCUUCUGGUUGUAUCACAUACAAUGUUUGCUCAAGGAAACCGUCGAGGAAACAAUGUUUUGACAUCCUACAUGCAAUAUUUCAUAAAUAAUGCAUCAACAACUAACAUAAUUCUAACAGACCUUUAGCAUCGUUAUGAGUGAGAUAGUCUCAUCAUAGUCAACUGUUUGAUCUUGUCGAAAACAUCUUUGCGACAAGUCGAGCUUUUCUUAAUAGUGACUUAUCACCAUCAUCGUCUGUCUUCUAUUAAAGAUCCAAUUUUACUCAAUAGUCCUAUGACCAUCAAGUAAUUCUUCCAAAGUCUACACUUUGUUUUCAUACAUGGAUCCUCUCUCGGAUUUCAUGGCUUCCACCCAUUUGUCGGAAUCUGGGCCCACCAUCGCUUUCUCCAUAACUCGUAAGUUCACUGUUGCUCAACAACAUGACCUCCAGGACAGGGUUACCGUACUACUCUGUAGUAGUACGCGACCUUGUCAAACUACGAGGCUUGUAGUAACUUGAUCCGAUGCUUGAUGAUCACCAUCAUCAGCUUCCACUUCAAUUGGUGUAGGCGCCACAGGAACAACUUCCUGCGCCCUGCUACACACUGGUUGAAGUGAUGGUUCAAUAACCUCAUCAAGUUCUACUACCCUCCCACUCAAUUCUUUCGAGAGAAACCUUUCCUCGAGAAAGGAUCCGUUUCUAGAAACAAACACUUUGCUUUCGGAUCUGAGAUAGGAGAUGUACCCAACUGUUUUGGAUAUCCUAUGAAGAUGCAUUUAUCCGCUUUGGGUUCGAGCUUAUCAGACUGAAACUUUUUCACAUAAGUGUAGAAGCCCCAAACUUUCAAGAAACGACAGUUUAGAUUUCUCUAAACCUCGGUCUAUACUGUGUCGUCUCAAUGGAAAUACGCGGAGCCCUAUUUAAAGUGAAUGCGGUUGUCUCUAAUGCAUAACCCAUAAACGAUAGUGGUAAUUCGAUAAGAGACAUCAUAGCAUGCACCAUACCAAAUAGUGUGUGGCUAUGACGUUCAGACACAUCAUCACACUAUGAUGUUCUAGGUGGCAUGAACUGCGAAACAAUUUCCACAUUGUCUUAACUGCGUGCCAAAACUCGUAACUCAGAUAUUCAUUUCUAUGAUCAUAUCGUAGACAGUUUAUCCUCUUGUUACGACAAACUUCACUCUGGAACGGAAUUGAACUUUUCAAUAUUUCAGACUUGUGAUUCAUUAAGUAAAUACUCCUGUAUCUACUCAAAUCGUCAGUGAAGUAAGAACAUAAUGAUAUCCACUGCGUGCCUCAGUACCCAUUGGACUCCAUACAUCAAAAUGUAUCACUUCCAACAAGUUACUAUCUUGUUUCAUCUCAAUGAAAACAAGGCCUUGCUCAUGUGGUAUGAUUUGCAUGUCACUAGUGAUUCAAAAUCAAGUGAGUAUAAAGACCCAUCAGCAUGGAGCCUCUUCAUGCAAUUUAUACCAACAUGACUCAAGCGGCAGUGCCACAAGUAAGUGGUACUAUCAUCAUUACCUCGUAUCUUUUGGCACCAAUAUCAUGAACAUGUGUAACACUACGAUCAAGAUUCAAUAAACCAUUUGAAGGUGAUUUUUCAAGCAAAUAGAGUAACCAUUAUUCUCUUUAAAUGAAUAAUCGUAUUGCAAUAAACACGAUCCAAUCAUGUUCAUGCUUAACGCAAGCACCAAAUAACAAUUAUUUAGGUUUAACACCAAUCCCGAUGGUAGAGGGAGCGUGCGACGUUUGAUCAUAUCAACCUUGGAAAUACUUCCAACACGUAUCGUCACCUCGCCUUUAGCUAGUCUCCGUUUAUGUCGUAGCUUUCAUUUCAUGUUACUAAUCACUCAGCAACCGAACCGGUAUCCAAUACCCUCAUGCUACUAGGAGUACUAGUAAAGUACACAUCAACAUCAUGUAUAUCAAAUAUACUUCUUUCGACUUUUGCCAGCCUUCUUAUCUACCAAGUAUCUAGGGUUGCUCCGCCUCAGUGACUGUUCCCCUCAUUACAGAAGCACUUAGUCUCGGGUUUGGGUUUAAUCUUGGGUCUCUUCAUUUGCGCAGCAACUUUUUUGCCGUUUCACGAAGUAUCCCUUCUAGCCCUUGCCUUUCUUGAAACUUAGUGGUUUUACAAACCAUCAACUAUUGAUGCUCCUUCUUGAUUUCUACUUUCGCAGUGUCAAACAUCGCGAAUCGCUCAAGGAUCAUUGUAUCUAUCCUUGAUAUGUUAUAGUUCAUCAUGAAGCUCUCACAGCUUGGUGGCAGUGACUUUGGAGAACCAUCACUAUCUCAUCUGGAAGAUUAACUCCCACUUGAUUCAAGUGAUUGUCGUACUCAGACAAUCUGAGCACAUGCUCAACGAUUGAGCCUUUCUCCUUUACUUUGUGGACAAAGAAUCUUGUCGGAGGUCUUGUACCUCUUAACAAGGGCACAAGCACGAAAUCACAAUUUCAUCUCUUUAGAACAUCACUUAUGUUCCGCGACGUUUCAAAAAAAACGUCUUCGGAGCCUUGCUUCUAAGCCAUUAAGUAUUUUGCACUGAACUAUCGUGUAGUCAUCAGAAACGUGUAUGUCGGAUGUUCACAGCAUCCACAGACGACGCUCGAGGUGCAGCACGCCGAGUGGUGCAUUAAGGACAUAAGCCUUCUGCGUAGCAACGAGGACAAUCCUCGGUUUUACAGACUUAGUCUGCAAAGUUUGCUACUAUCAACUUUCAGCUAAAUUUUCUCUAGGAACAUAUAAAAAACAGUAGAGCUAUAGCGCAAGCUACAUCGUAAUUCGCCAAGACCAUUAGACUAUGUUCAUGACAAUUAGUUCAAUUAAUCAUAUUACUUAAGAACUCGCACUCAAAAAGUACAUCUCUCUAGUCAUUUGAGUGGUACAUGAUCCAAAUCCACUAUCUCAAGUCCGAUCAUCACGUCAGUCGAGAAUAGUUUCAGUAGUAAGCAUCUCUAUGCUAAUCAUAUCAACUAUACGAUUCAUGCUCGACCUUUCGGUCUCAUGUGUUCCGAGGCCAUGUCUGCACAUGCUAGGCUCGUCAAGCUUAACCCGAGUGUUCUGCGUGUGCAACUGUUUUGCAUCCGUUGUAUGUGAACGUUGAGUCUAUCACACCCGAUCAUCACGUGGUGUCUCGAAACGAAGAACUGUAGCAACGGUGCACAGUCGGGGAGAACACAAUUUCGUCUUGAAAUUUUAGUGAGAGAUCACCUCAUAAUGCUACCGUCGUUCUAAGCAAGAUAAGGUGCAUAAAGGAUUAACAUCACAUGCAAUUCAUAAGUGACAUGAUAUGGCCAUCAUCAUGUGCUUCUUGAUCUCCAUCACCAAAGCACCGGCACGAUCUUCUUGUCACCGGCGUCACACCAUGAUCUCCAUCAUCAUGAUCUCCAUCAACGUGUCGCCAUCGGGGUUGUCGUGCUACUCAUGCUAUUACUACUAAAGCUACAUCCUAGCAAAAUAAACGCAUAUGCAAGCACAAACGUUAGUUAUAAAGACAACCCUAUGGUUCCUGCCGGUUGCCGUACCAUCGACGUGCAAGUCGAUAUUAACUAUUACAACAUGAUCAUAUCAUACAUCCAAUAUAUCACAUCUCAUCGUUGGCCAUAUCACAUCACAAGCAUACCCUGCAAAAACAAGUUAGACGUCCUCUAAUUUUGUUGUUGCAUGUUUUACGUGGUGACCAUGGGUAUCUAGUAGGAUCGCAUCUUACUUACGCAAACACCACAACGGAGAUAUAUGAGUUGCUAUUUAACCUCAUCCAAGGACCUCCUCGGUCAAUUCCGAUUCAACUAAAGUUGGAGAAACUGACACCCGCCAUUCAUCUUUGAGCAACGGAGUUACUCGUAGCGAUGAAACCAGUCUCUCGUAAGCGUACGAGUAAUGUCGGUCCGAGCCGCUUCGAUCCAACAAUACCGCGGAAUCAAGAAAAGACUAAGGGGGGCAGCAAAACGCACAUCACCACCCACAAAAACUUUUGUGUUCUACUCGAGAAGACAUCUACGCAUGAACCUAGCUCAUGAUGCCAUUGUUGGGGAACGUCGCAUGUGAAACAAAAAAUUUCCUACGCGCACGAAGACCUAUCAUGGUGAUGUCCAUCUACAAGAGGGGCUUUCGAUCUACGUACCCUUGUAGAUCGCACAGCAGAAGCGUUAGUGAACGCGGUUGAUGUAGUGGAACGUCCUCACGUCCCUCGAUCCGCCCCGCGAACCGUCCCGCGAUCAGUCCCACGAUCUAGUGCCGAACGGAUGGCACCUCCGCGUUCAGCACACGUACAGCUCGACGAUGAUCUCGGCCUUCUUGAUCCAGCAAGAGAGACGGAGAGGUAGAUGAGUUCUCCGGCAGCGUGACGGCGCUCCGGAGGUUGGUGGUGAUCUUAUCUCGGCAGGGCUCCGCCCGAGCUCCGCAGAAACGCGAUCUAGAUGUAAAACCGUGGAGAUAUGUGGUCGGGCUGCCGUGGCAAAAGUUGUCUCAAAUCAACCCUAAUACCUCAGUAUAUAUAGGAGGGAGGGGGAGGGAAGAGGCAGCCUCAAACCCUCAAGGUUUGGCCGAAAUUGGAGGUGGAGGAGUCCUACUCCAAUCCUACUUGGAGUAGGAUUCCACCUUCCCACUUGCAAACUCUUUCCACCUUGUGUUUUUUCCUUCUCAAACCUUAUGGGCCUUAGUGGGAACAUAUUCCAGCCCACUAGGGGCUGGUUUAUCUCUUCCCAUAGCCCAUGAGACCCCUUGGGGCGUGACACCCCUCCCGAUGGUCCCCGACACCCCUCCCGGCACUCCCGGUACACUACCGAUGAGCCCGAAACUUUUCCGAUGACCAAAACAAGACUUCCUAUAUAUCAAUCUUUACCUCCGGACCAUUCCGGAGCUCCUCGUGACGUCCUGGAUCUCAUCCGGGACUCCGAACAACAUUCGGUAACCAACCAUAUAACUCAAAUACGCAUAAAACAACGUCGAACCUUAAGUGUGCAGACCCUGCGGGUUCGAGAACUAUGUAGACAUGACCCGAGUGACUCCUCGGUCAAUAUCCAAUAGCGGGACCUGGAUGCCCAUAUUGGAUCCUACAUAUUCUCCGAAGAUCUUAUCGGUUGAACCUUAGUGUCAAGGAUUCAUAUAAUCCCGUAUGUCAUUCCCUUUGUCCUUCGGUAUGUUACUUGCCCGAGAUUUGAUCGUCAGUAUCCGCAUACCUAUUUCAAUCUCGUUUACCGGCAAGUCUCUUUAAUCGUUCUGUAAUUCAAGAUCCCGCAACUUACACUAAGUCACAUUGCUUGCAAGGCUUGUGUGUGAUGUUGUAUUACCGAGUGGGCCCCGAGAUACCUCUCCGUCACACGGAGUGACAAAUCCCAGUCUCGAUCCAUACUAACUCAACGAACACCUUAGGAGAUACCUGUAGAGUAUCUUUAUAGUCACCCAGUUACGUUGCGACGUUUGAUACACACAAAGUAUUCCUCCGGUGUUAGUGAGUGAUAUGAUCUCAUGGUCAUAGGAACAAAUACUUGACACGUAGAAAACAGUAGCAAUAAAAUGACACGAUCAACAUGCUACGUCUAUUAGUUUGGGUCUAGUCCAUCACAUGAUUCUCCUAAUGAUGUGAUCCCAUUAUCAAGUGACAACACUUGCCUAUGGCCAGGAAACCUUGACCAUCUUUGAUCAAUGAGCUAGUCAACUAGAGGCUUACUAGGGACAGUGUUUUGUCUAUGUAUCCACACAAGUAUUGUGUUUCCAAAUCAAUACACAAUUAUAGCAUGGAUAAUAAACGAUUAUCAUGAACUAAGAAAUAUAAUAAUAACUAAUUUAUUAUUGCCUCUAGGGCAUAUUUCCAACAAGUUGGGCCUUGCCAGACCAGCUUUAAUCUAAAACGAAUUAUCAAGGGGGUCCCCAUAACAACCCCGAUCGUGUUAGGAGCGCUCAUUUACGGAACAUAACACCGGUAGCUGGUAACUAAGUGGGCAAAGGUGGAACAAAACACCAGGCUAGAAAGGUCGAGCCUUCCACCUUUUACCAAGUAUAUAGGUGCAUUAAAUUAAAUAGCAUUAAUAUGGUGAUAUGACAAGGAACCCAUGUUUUCACAUGGAAGCAUCUACACCUGCAACUAGCAACGCUAACACAGGGUUAAGCAAGCGGUAACAUAGCCAAUCAGUGGUUUGCUAGGUCGAACGGGUUGAAGGUUAACAUGGCAUUGUUGAGAGGCUGAUAUUUAACAGGUGGUAGGGACCGAGACAUAAUCGAUAGAAAUGAUAAAACUAGCAUGGCAAUGAUAGUAAUGGUAUCUGGGGAAAUGGUCAUCUUGCCUAAGAUCCCGCUUGGAAGAAGAAUGACUCCGUGAAGCAGACGAACCGUCGUAGUCGAACGGCUCCUCACAAUCCGACACACUUGCAGAACUCUAUCGAGACGGGGAAAACCGGAAACAAGCAUCAACACACGAAAUUCACCACACGAUGCACAACACAAAUGAUGAAUGAGCAGCUGAAUACAUGCAAGUCACGGCAUGACAAAUCACACAAUCAAUCAUUACACAUUAAGUGAAGUUCAAUAUGCAACAAGUUGCAUAUUGACGAAACUCCACGUUUAUUUAUUUAGUUCUAUCCCGAUUAGGUACACGGCAAUAUUAAAUGUGAUUAAACAUGGCAAGAGGUGAAGCGCAAUUAAUCUACCUAUCUAGGCAUUUUAAAUGAGGUCGGAAAUGACAUAUAACACCUCCGAGACAACCUCACAUGUUAAGUUACAAUUCUGUCCAGAUCUGAACUAAUGCAUUUAUUUAGUUGUUAAACCGCAAAACAAAUAGAUUCACGUGAUUCUACGCAUCAUUUCAAGCAAUCUACACAUAAAGAACAUCUCCAACGGAGCUACGGGUCAAAAGUUACAAGCACCGCAAGAUAUGAUGGCAUGAAUGCAAAAUCUGUGCAACGACGGUCACGAGCACUUCAAAACAUCCAACCAGAAAGGGAAAAUGAAACUACACGAGAUUCUAAGCAAGUUUCAUGUAGGACACGAUCAAAUCGGAGCUACGGUUCAAAAACUACGAGCAAAACCAGAAAUGACUACAAUCUGCCAAAAUCAGCCACAUAGCAUAUUCUACGCCCCACAACUACGAGCUACACAACUCCGAUAAACUUAAGCAAGACAUGGCACGAAAGAAGGAAAGAAGCACUACUACAAACAACUAACAACAACUAGCAUGGCAGCAAGGAGCACUAGGAAAAGAAGACACAAAAUGGCAUCUCACACACUAUUUCAGACGUAGUGAAAAUUACACCUCAUGAAAGUGCAGUUUUCGAUCUGAAGCAAUAUUGGAAGCAGCAAAAUCUAUAGCUACAGGACUCCAAAUGACAUGAAAAUUUACAGCAUACUAGAGAAACACAAGGGGUACAACUAAAUCCAUUGGACCAACCUCAAAAGAGCUACAGAUCAUAAGAUGCAAGCAAGAUAAGACAGCAACAAAAUAAUAACAGAUUCCAGACUUAGAAAUAUUUCAGCUCCUCAAAAUCAGCAAUAUUUCUAGCAACUUGAGAGCAAUCAAACUACACUUAAACAUGCAUUUCUAUUGCAACUAAAAAUACCAGGGGCUAGUCUAAACACCCAAGAACAACUCCCUAGUUGACAACUUAAUCAAAUGGAGCACGGAAUAAAUCCUACGAAUUAAACAAAAGGGCAUCACGGCAAAAUAUCGCGCGAACCAACUUCCUCAAAAGCUAAAACUAAUUUCACAGAAAAAUCCCAUGGAUUUUUCUACCCCGGAAACAUAUAAAAUAUGUGGGGUUGCACAACAAAAAUAAAGCCUCACAUAAAUACGGGAAAAUAAUCUAUAUACGGGAAAAUAAACUAGAGGGAAUUUCCUACACGCAAAAAUACAAAUGACCGCUCUAAAAUGCAUGGAAAAAUGGUCCCUAAAACAUGGGCAUUUUACCUAAGGCACUCGAGCAAUCCGGACCGCAAGAAAAAUAAAUACGGGACGCAAACAACAUAGGACAGCACGCUAAACUAGGCGUUAGGCACGAUAAACGACUUCAAACCAAUAUGCAAGUUGUGAAAUCAUGUUCUACUCGCAAAACUACCCCAAAACCAUAUAAAAUACGCCUCGAUCCGACUAACGGUUAAUCAACUACGGGCGUUUGAAAAACAAGCAUACUUACUGGAAAAGAAUAAACGCUCGACGGGAAAAAAAAAAGCUAUGGGCCCUAACUAGCUAACGGGCCGAAACAGAGGCAUGCGCUAAAGCACUAAAAGACGCCGGCGACGGGGAAUAGGACUCACCCACGUGGCCACAUGGACCGGUUGUUGAUGGGCUUGGGUAGGAGGCCGGCCUGGGCCGGGACGGAGGAGGCAGGCCCACGCGGGGGCGAGGGGAGCUGCUGGCGCUGGUGGGCCGCGACGCUGGGAAGGCCCAGAGCGGUCAACCGCUCGCGAACGGGCGCCACCUUGUCGUCCUCCUCGAUCCAGAGGAGACGGCGGCGCUGGAGCUGCUACGACGGCCGGCGACAGGGCUUCCGGCGAGGGGGAAGCCGCCCCGGGAGCGCGGCGAUGCAGGGCUGGCCGGAGGGGACCGGAUCCGGGGGUUCCCGGCCCGGAUCUGGCGACGGGAGGCGGCGGCAGCAGCUCGCCGGCAGCAGGGACCGCGGCGACGGGAGCACGGGAGCCCGACGGCGGGGUAAGGGAGGUCGGCGGUGCGGASAAUAUGCUAGGAUCCAAUAUGGGCAUCCAGGUCCUGCUAUUGGAUAUUGACCGAGGAGUCACUCGGGUCAUGUCUACAUAGUUCUCGAACCCGCAGGGUCUGCACACUUAAGGUUCGACGUUGUUUUAUGCGUAUUUGAGUUAUAUGGUUGGUUACCGAAUGUUGUUCGGAGUCCCGGAUGAGAUACAGGACGUCACGAGGAGCUCCGGAAUGGUCCGGAGGUAAAGAUUGAUAUAUAGGAAGUCCUGUUUUGGUCACCGGAAAAGUUUCGCGCUCAUUGGUAGUGUACCGGGAGUGCCGGGAGGGGUGCCGAGGACCAUCGGGAGGGGUGUCACGCCCCAAGGGGUCUCAUGGGCUAUGGGAAGAGGUAAACCAGCCCCUAGUGGGCUGGAAUAUGUUCCCACUAAGGCCCAUAAGGUUUGAGAAGGAAAAAACACAAGGUGGAAAGAGUUUCCAAGUGGGAAGGUGGAAUCCUACUCCAAGUAGGAUUGGAGUAGGACUCCUCCACCUCCAAUUUCGGCCAAACCUUGAGGGUUUGAGGCUGCCUCUUCCCUCCCCCUCCCUCCUAUAUAUACUGAGGUAUUAGGGUUGAUUUGAGACAACUUUUGCCACGGCAACCCGACCACAUAUCUCCACGGUUUUACCUCUCGAUCGCGUUUCUGCGGAGCUCGGGCGGAGCCCUGCCGACAUAAGAUCACCACCAACCUCCGGAGCACCGUCACGCUGCCGGAGAACUCAUCUACCUCUCCAUCUCUCUUGCUGGAUCAAGAAGGCCGAGAUCAUCGUCGAGCUGUACGUGUGCUGAACGCGGAGGUGCCGUCCGUUCGGCACUAGAUCGUGGGACUGAUCGCGGGACGGUUCGCGGGGCGGAUCGAGGGACGUGAGGAUGUUCCACUACAUCAACCGCGUUCACUAACGCUUCUGCUGUGCGAUCUACAAGGGUACGUAGAUCGAAAGCCCUCUCGUAGAUGGACAUCACCAUGACAGGUCUUCGUCCGCGUAGGAAAUUUUUUGUUUCCCAUGCGACGUUCCCCAACACAACUUUGGUACUAUAUUUGCCUAAUAACCUAAUAAUAAUGCAUAGGGAUCCGCGGCACCCGCGGACUAUUUUAAUCAACCCCCGGGCAUGUGCUCCUCAUGAGUGUUGGUCCCACCUGAGCGAUGUCCGGCGCCCCUCUGGUCACCCGGAGGUUUAGCGAUCCCGACGUCAAGCUCAUCUGCCGUGUCCUGAGAACGAGGUACGCGACUCCUAUCGGGAUCGUCGACACGUCGGGCGGCCUUGCUGGAUUAGUUUUACCUUUGACGAGAUAUCUUGUGCAUCGGGAUUCCGGUGAUGCUUUGGGUAAUCUCAGAGUUGAGGUUUUCCACUAGGGAAUCCGACGAGAUCGCGAGCUUCGUGAUUGAGGAUUUCUAUGCGGCUUGUGGUAAUUUGUGAUGGACUAGUUGGAGCACCCCUGCAGGGUUAAAUCUUUCGGAAAGUUGUGCCCGCGGUUUUGUGGCAACGUGGAAACUUUGUUUAACACUGGUUCUAGAUAACUUGAAGUUAACUUAAUUAAAACUUGCCAACUGUAUGCGUAACCGUGACUAUGUCCUUCGUGAGUUCUUACUCCGAUCGAGGACACAGUGGGGUAAUGUCUGACGUAGGUAGGUGUUCAGGAUCAUUCAUUUGAUCAUCAGUAGUUCACGUCCGCUAUGCGUAGAUUUCCCCCCUCUUAUUUCUUGUACUUGUAAGUUAGCCACCAUAUAUAUGCUUAGCCGCUGCUGCAACCUCACCACUUAACCAUAUCUCACCCAUUAAGCUUUGCUAGUCUUGAUACCUUUGGAAAUGAGAUUGCUGAGUCCCCUGUGGCUCACAGAUUACUACAACACCAGUUGCAGGUACAGGUAAAGGUUACUUGACGCGAGCGCGUUGAUUGUUCAUUUGGAGUUGCUUCUUCUUCUUCUUCGUCGAUCUAGGAUGGGCAAACGCAAAACGGCCUGCACCACUUCGCAACGCACGUCUCCGCUGCCCACCUCCUGUAAUCCCUAUAAAACCACCCCUUGCUCUUCGCUUGCACGACCCCACUCGCCCGGAUGCCACCGCGAUCGGGUCCCUCAUCCUCAAGGCCUCAACUGGGCGCUCCAACCUCCAAGAUCUCCCAAUGGCGUACGCCUCCUCCAUCUUCUCAUCUGGUUCAUCUUCACCAUUGAGUCCACUACUCCUCCGGUGGUGGUUCCGUGCUCGGCCUGGGAGGCGCUGACGGUGGGGAGCAGCGGCGCAUCGACGGACAUCAUUGCAUGUGCAGCAUGCAUCGGCGGCGGCUGCAGAGCCACAGAAGAGCAACGGUGCGAAGCAGGUGCAGGUCAGAAGGAGGCAGCACGGGACCGGGCGGCGCUGGAGGCACAACUUGUCCUCGAGUGUGGCGUGGGUCUUUUUCUUAUGCCAGACAGAAAGAUAAGAACAAUGUGUUAAUGAUGAGAUCAGUUUGUAUAGAAUCAUAAAGAGAUCAGUUUGUAUAGAAUCAUAAUGAACUUGACAUCUCGCUAAGGCACACAUAUAGACACUUGCUGCAACUUUCUUUGUUACAAUGGAACAUCUUCUAGUCUAAGUAUUUUGGGAUGGAGGGGGUAGUAGUUUAGCAACGAGUUGUUUUGUUUUGGAUUUUUAAUAUUAUUUCUGUACACUAACUAGCCCUAUAAAACGCAGGACUUGUUUUUUGUUUUGGGAAUUUUGUUUUCGGAGCAUGAACUACCGUAAACUUGGAUGUGGUAUCUGGUUUCACUAAUGAUAAUGUAACGCGUCCCUUGUUCAUCUAAAAAUACAUACAUGAUUUUUUCUUCUUUUUUGCAAUCAAAAGUACGGUAUUUCUUCCAGAUUCACAAGAUUACAAUCGGCAACGACUAGUUCAACAAUACAAGGGGGAGGUUGGUUAAGCCAACAUGCAGUGCUAUCCCCACUACGUCCAAUAUCCGCUAAACAAUCUGCAACCCUGUUUGGUUCACGAGAGAUUUUUACAUGAGUAAAUACUUUAUCUUCCAGAAGAACUUUUAUCUAUGCAAUCAAAUGGCCAUUCGCCGAUCUGUCUAAAGAACGGUCCUUGAACACCGACAAUGCUAUGGUGUUGUCAGACUCGAUCAUCAUUGGUAAGGCAGUCCAUAGGAAUGCCAAGCCAAGACCCUCCAUUAUCGCAUGUAGCCCCGACUCCAGAGCAUCAUUACAGUUGUAUAAUCGUAUGUAGGCCGCAAAAAUCAUCGCUCCCUUCUCAUCCCUCAAAAUCAUCCCAGUACCAGCUGAACCGUCCGCUUUAAUAAAACAUCCAUCUACGGAUAAUGCAACCGAACCAAAAGGUGGGCAUGGCCAUCAUAUGCUCGGUGGCUUCGGUUUGGUCUGAGGCAACGGUCGUACGUCGAACACCGCAUAUUUUCCUUUUAUUACCUCCUGAACACUAUGUCGGCGCACUUGAAUCAAUGAGUUAAGAUAGCUUCUUUGGAACAAGCAAGACACUUUUAGGAGGGGGGGGGGUAAUGAGUUUUUCACUAGUGUAUUGAAAAUAAACCAGGAUCACGUUGACAUUUAUGUGAUCCUGCAGGGUGGAUUAGGGCAUCUCCAGCCGUGCCCCCAGGACGCCCCCAAACACAUUUUUUUAGCACCACGAUCGAAAAAAGUUCAAGCCAUGCCUUGAGGAUGUUGUUUUGCGCCGGAUUUGAGCAAAACUAGCCUGGACGAUCCCAGGCCGAACCCAGCCCCCUGGGGGCACUUAGGGUGUCCGGCGUUGUUGCUGCAUGCACAAACCCCACCGGUAAGCCUCUCUCCUCUCCAUCUCCAUCCUUUUUCUGUUAGGCCCAUCCAUGUGCAUGCAAAAAAUAAUUUUCUUCUCUCUCUCACGCAUGUGUCCUGUGGGUAGUUGGAGGCCAUCUUUUCGUCCGUGUGCACCUAUUGUCUAGCACAAACAGACUAUUCCAUACACAACUACUCUUUCAUCUGAUGAAAUGGAAGUGCAAAGCUGAAAUAGGUCAUGACGAACAUUGUUAUGGUACGUCCAAAUUUAAUGGUCCAAAAAAAUAAAUACGGUGUGACCUUAUUUAUGACGUUUACAAAAUUUGAAUUAAAAAAUGGUUGCAUAAUAAAAGGUGGAGAAAGUUAUAUUUAAUAUUUUGUCCGAUGCAACACACGGGCAUUUGUACUAGUAGUAGUCUAAUGAUGGCAUAUAUAAAAAGAAAGACCUUAUUAUGACGUUUUACAAAAUUUGGAUUAAAAAAUGGUUGCAUAAUAAAAGGUGAAGAAAGUUAUAUUUAAUAUUUUGUCCGAUGCAACGCACGGUCAUUUGUACUAGUAGGAGCCUAGUGGCGGCAUAUAUAAAAAGAAAGAACUUGAACAAAAAGCCAGGUGCUAAUGUCUAGCACAUGCCAACCCGAGGGAUGCAAUUGCGCUUUGGCAUCUUUCAUUUGUGCGCUUUGGCAUCUUUCGCAACUGACAGCCGUGCAUCAUCCCCGUGUUGGCGAUGCAGUGGGCAGAAUAGGGCCUAAUAUACCGGGCACGUCCUGAUUGAGCUUCCGGUACGGUACUAACUUGUGCAGCGAUUCGCGCCGUCGAUUUCGCGUCCCGCGCGCGCUGGCAACCCUGAAAAACUCGGUUCGGGCCCAAGUGAAACUGGGCCAGUUCUCGUGUCUUUCCCUCGAGCCGUCUCCUCCCCACCUCGAGCGACUCCUCCCCGUCGCCGACGGCCUAUUCCGGGGCAACCUCUCCGCCUCACCUCGUCUCGUCUUCCUCCCAGAUCCACCACGCAACGGUCGCCAUGGGCCUCGACGGCGCGCCGGCCUGCUCCAUCCUCACUCAAAACCUCGAGUGGCCGUGGGUGAGGAGACUGCGGCCAGAGCGACCGGAUUCACGCCGUCGUCAACAGCACCUGACGCCAUCAAGUUCUGCUGCUCCUUCGUCAUGAACAAGGAGAGGCCGACGCUAUCCAGGUCCGCCACCAAGGACUGCUGCUGCAGGCACCGCCACUCCCAGCACAUUAUCUCCAAGGUCUCUGUCUCCCCCUUCCACGUACUACUAUGUUAUCUCAUGCACAUUAAUUGGGUCUGAAAGGCAGUUUAGUUAGGCAACACCUUUUAAUCAUGCAAGUAAUUUUCAACAGUGUUGAUCUGUUUCUCUCUCUCGAAUUGAGGAGGAGAGACUCAUAAUACAGGAUAUCUGUCACAGCUGACCCAUCAAAAAGAGACAGGUUCUGCAAUCUACUGUGUUGAUCUCUAGACAGGCAAAAAUCUGUUUUCUAUCUUAUCCUGUUCAUGCAUAGUAGGUAAGGCUGGACGGAACGAGCGAACUUUUCGGCCCGUUAAGGACCGGAUCGUACGGUCCAGGACCGGUGAAAAAACUGGUCGGUCCGGGCUGCAAUUUCCAGCUCGAGAAAAUGUUGGUCCGGUCCAGUCUUUAACCGAGCCGCUCCGUCGGACCGAGAACACGCAAUCACCGUCGCUCUUGUGCUUCGUCGUCGUGGUCACCGGCAACCCCCGUGUGAACCAUCAUGUCCGCAAGCUUCCCCUAUCAUUCCUUCCUCAGGCCCCGAUGUGUCAUAGCCUCUUUGCACUGCUCGCAAUCUCUGCCGUGCGUGCACCGCCGCCCAUCUGAAGUUCUGGAGUUAACUAGGUGCACCGCCGCCCAUCAAGUAUCGCUUCGUCUUCGUUAUCUGUUAACUAGGUUUCAGUCAAGAGCUCCCCGUGUUAUAUGAGUAGAUGGUGAUGCUAGCAUGCACGUUUACAAUACGUGUUGAAUAUACUUGUUUCUCAAUAAGAUCAUGAUUCUUUAGCUUUCAUUGGUCAGCCUGUCGAUUUUCUUUUUGAAUGUGCGUAUUGGUACAUACUCCCUCCCUCCCAAAAUAAGUGACUUAAAAAUGACUAAACUUUACACUAACUUUAAUACAAAGUUGAGUCUUUUUGAGUCACUUAUUUUAAAACGGAGGGAGUACUUGUUAACUGGAUCCAUUGCAUCUUUGCAUGACUAAUUGUUAAGCUGAUACAGUUUGUCUAGUGGACGAGUUUGGAAAUAAUCAUUAACUUUUCUAAAAUUUAUACUUGUCUUGACUAACCACUGUUUUUCAGUUAAGAACUCCACACGUUAUAUGAGUAGAUGGUGAUAUCCUAGCAUGUACAUUUACAACACGUGUUGACAUAUACUACUACCUUCAACAGGAUCAUGAUUCUUCAGUUUCAUUGGUUAGCCUGUCAAUUUGAGUGUGUUAAUUGAUACAUACUUGUUGAUUGGACCAUUUUUUUUCAGUUUGCACCCAUCAACCUCUAUUUGCUUGAUAGUUUGCGAGUACUUCCCCACCUCCUGCGUCGUUCCUACGAACGACUGGGGGGGGGGGACCCUAGCCGCCAGUACUCUGUGCCCUCUCUCCCUACCUAGGAACCGGGCCUAGGCCUUGCGGCCGGGGGCCCUGUGGUAGAUCGGAGGUGGACGAUAGGCAAGGUGAAAAGAGGUGAGGAGAGGGGGCUAUGACGGAGACAUGUUUGGCUCCCAUGACUGAGAGGAACGAUGUCGAGGAUGUGGAAAAUGUGGUCCUGCAAGGAGAGCUAGAGGAAGAGGACAGAUGGGGGAGAUCUGAUGAGAGGGCGCCGCUGCUCCUGCGGCACCGCACUGUCGCUCUUUCCAUGCCGCGCCGCUACUAUUGGUUAGAGAGACAGGAGAUGAGAUGGGGAAAAAAUUUAGGCCCGAAUAAUUCUGUGAGGAAGAGAAAAGUUGUCGAGGCGGUAUAGAAAGAGUCAUGUUAAGAGGCAAGGUCAAAGCACAAACCAACCCGUGGUUGGAUGGUUAGGAGGACUGUGGUAUCCCCUGCUCAUCAGAGUUCAAGUACCAGAUUUAACGUUGGUGCUUACAUUUUUCUGGAUUUAUUCCAGGUCUUUCAGCGAUGUGCUUUCAGUAGGAGGAGACAUUCCCGUCGACAACGAAGGCGUUAGUGGCGACUUCGUCAAUCUCAAGAUGAUGUGCCGACUUAGUCUCUCGAAGGUGCGCAUAGGGGUAGGAUGUGCGUGCGUGCGUUCAUAUGGGUGAGUGUACGCUCGUGUAUGUGAGCGACUUCGAAUGUACUCUGUUCAAAAGAGGCAAGGUCAAAGGUUAUAUUAAAUAGUGGGAUCAUUUAAAUCAUAUCAAUGGGGAUGUAGCUCAAUUGAUAGAGCGCUUAUCAAUGCUAGUAAGAGGCAGGCGGUUCGAUACCUCCCAUCUCCAGUGUUGCUUAUUUUUUCCAUUAGUGUAUUGCUUUUUUAAGAGAAGUAUAUGUUUUUUCUCUAUCUGUAGAAAACUAGGCCUCGGAGAUUUUGAUGCUACAUGGGCUUCUUUCUAAGGCCUUUGUUAGGCUGGGAAGCAGUCGGUAGCCAAGCCAUUGCAUGCACCUUUUUUUUAAUGAGGAAGGCCAGAGUGGCCCUUAUAUUACAUGUGAUAAAAUAGUUACAUCAUUUGCUAGAGUAUCAAUGAGGAAGCCAGGGGCUCCUCCAUCCACUUUAUAGUUCUAGUGGGUUCAGCAAAUCUAGCUAAUGUAUCUGCAACCAUGUUUGCUUCCCUGGGACAGAAAACAAAAUGAAUAGAGCUAAAAUUUAAUAUAAUGAUAAAACUCACUAAUAGUAAACAUCAGGAAAAAUAAUCGCUCAAAAAUCUAUUUUUAAACUAAAGUUAUUCACAAAGUAGUGAUUCAAAGAAAUUUCAAAGAAUUAAAAUUUAAGCUAUUUAAAUUUGAAAACUGCGAGCACUAACAUAAAGUUUAUAAUUUUUGUGACCUAAAGCAAGAAGAUUCAUUCAAAAACUAUACAUAUUCUAACAGUUAUUCCAAAUCUAAAAACAGAAAUUGUCGUGUUUAGAAAAACAAAACAAGCCAAAAAAAGAGAAAAUAGACCUUUAGUCCCGGUUGAAGCCACCAACCGGAUUAAAGGUCCCUUCUUGCGUGGAAUUUGGACCACCAAAAAGGAGACCUUUAGUCCCGGUUCGUUGCUCCAAACGGGACUAAAGGGAGGAACUUUAUUCCCGGUUGCAGACACCAACCGGGACUAAAUUGGUCUCGCCAACCGGGACUAAAGGUCUCAUUCGAACUGAGACUAAUGCCUACCGAGCUCCGUCCGGCGUCCUAGCCGCUCGAACCGGGACAACCGGGACAAUUGCUCCGAUCUGGCUAGGACAAAAGCCCUGUUUUCUACUAGUGCUUUUAAAUUCUAUAGAUGAGUCAACAAACAUAACUGGGUAAAGAUGGCAGCUUUUGCACUUCCGGUUAAUCACUUGUUAUUUGCAGAUGACGGCCUGCUGAUUUUCAAGUCAAGUGGUGACGGGAAAAUGAGCUAAACCAGUUGUUAACCAUAUAUUGCCAGGCUUUUGGCCAAUGCAUAAACUAUGAUACAUCUUCCAUUUUCUUUAGUAAGGGAUGCCUAGGUAAUGUUAGGGAGGAAGUACAAGGAUUGUUGCAUGUUCCGAAUGAAACAUUCAAUGGAAAAUAUUUGAGUAUGCCAUCUGAUGUGGGUGCUUCAAACAAUGGAACUUUCAAGUACUUAAAAGAAUAUCUGUGGAAAGUCGAAGGAUGGAUUGAAAAAACAUGUUCUCGGCUGGUAAGGAAGUGUUGGUUAAGUCGGUUGCACAAGUUGUACAUGUUUAUUCUAUGUCUUGCUUUAAACUUCCUAGGGGACUCGGUGAACAGUUGCAUAAGUUGAUUCAGAAAUUCUUGUGGGGAAGCAAUGAUGGCCAUCACAGGCUCAACUGGGUCUAGUAUGAUACAAGCAAAGUACAUGGGAGGACUGGGUUUCAAAUAUUUCCAGCUCCUUAAAUCUAGCGCGUCUAGCAAAGUAGUCAUGGCGUAUUCUUGAAACUCAAGAAUCACUCAGUGCAAGAAUCUUAAAAGUGGUUUAUUUUCCAUCGGAUACAAUUUUGAAUCUAGAACUUGGCAGUCACCCUUGCCAAACAUGGUACAUGGAUACCAUUUUGGCGGGAUGCGAUAUAUUGACACAUGGGCUGAUUAGGCGGAUAGGUAAGGAAGCAUCGACCGAUAUAUGGAAUGACAACUGCAUACCGAGGGAUGUAAUGAUGCGCCCCUUCGGCUGUCGGUCUCGCCCCCCCCCCCCCCCUUCCCACCCACACAUACACAUUUGUUUCCGAAAUUAUUGACCAUACCACUGCUAAAUGGGACAGAGUAAAAGUUGUCAAGGAUUUCCUAACGACUGGUGUGCCAGCCAUCCUCAGCAUAUCGUUGUGUACUAGGUAUCUGGAUGAUAGCUGGUCAUGGGAUUUUAAAAAAAGUGGGAGCUUCUCAGUCAGAUCGGCCUACAGAAUGAUGAUCACAACGAAAUGAAGGAAGAAAGCUUGGUUACAUGGUUCCUCAGGAUCAACGUGCAAUGAAAGAGACGCGACAUCGCGGAGAUUACCAUGGAAGAUUCCAGUCCCUGGCAAGAUACGCAAUGUUUCUCUCAAGACUAGCGAAAAACUGUCAGCCAACGGAGGAUGUUAGAGCACGUAGAAAAAUGUCCGUCACAAGCUCUUGUCCCUUGUGUGGAGCUGUUGAUUUAUGAUAGCAUUCUCUUCUUAAGUGUACUAUGGCACAGCGUGUCUGGGCACUAUUUGAUGGAGAAUUGGUGGAAUUUUUUUGCAAAACAACGGAACCUAGUGCAAGACAAUGGUUGUUCUCGAUGUCGACACGCUCUCAUGUGAAUCUUUUGUCAAGCUAUCAGUGAUCUUCUGGGCGAUUUGUUGGGCAAGGAGACAAGUUAUUCAAGGAGGUUGCCGCGCUAGAAGCAAUCGCUCGUCACGAAGCUUCGUAUCUUGCUGAGGAUCUUCUAAUUCAAGAUUUUAUUGUUGCCUCCUACCCGAAACAUGUGAUAAACGACAAUGAGAAGAGAACGAACAGUCGGUAUGGACAUAUGAUAGUCAAGCUCAAUUCAAUUGAAGGAUUCAUGGUCGAUUCAAUAUGAUUGGGUGGCAAAAUUAAUUUUCAGUGUUGCAAAUUAUAAAGUUAUACUACCUGAGCGCCACCAGGUCAAAGUUAUUUUUUGUUUGCCAAAGUAUGAAAUAUAUAAUGCAUGAAACUUCCCUAUCAAAAUCUUAGCAACAGUAAGAAACAGUUAAUAUAAUCUACUACCCCUAAAAAAGCAUAAAAAGACAGAUCCAACUAAGCAUAUUAGCCAUUGAUUACGUAAUCUAAUGGUCUAUAAACUCUAUAAUGUUGAGUGGACUAACGAAAACGAAACACACUAACGAAAAACGAUAGGCCCGCAUGAACGCAAAACGGCCCGCACCACAUCACAACGCACGACUCCGCUGCCCACCUCCUGUAAUCCCUAAAAAACCACCCUCGCUCUUCGCUUGCACGACCCCACUCGCCCGGAUGCCACCGCGAUCGGGUCCCUCAUCCUCAAGGCCUCAACCGGGCGCUCCAACCUCCAAGAUCUUCCAAUGGUGUGGGCCUCCUCCGUCUUCUCACCUGGUUCAUCUACACCAUUGAGUCCACUACUCGUCAGGUGGUGGUUCUAUGCUCGGCCUGGGAGGCGAUGACGGUGGGGAACAGCGGCGCAUCGGCGGACAUCAUUGCAUGUGCAGCAUGCAGCGGCAGCGGCUGCAGAGCCACGGAAGAGCAGCGGUGCUAAGCAGGUGCAGGUUAGAAGGAGGCAGCACGGGGCCGGGCGGCGCUGGAGGCAGAGCUUGUCCUCGAGUGUGGCGUGGGUCUUUUUCUUAUGCCAGACAGAAAGAUAAGAACAAUGUGUUAAUGAUGAGAUCAGUUUGUAUAGAAUCAUAAAGAGAUCAGUUUGUAUAGAAUCAUAAUGAACUUGACAUCUCGCUAAGGCACACAUAUAGACACUUGCUGCAACUUUCUUUGUUACAAAGGAACAUCUUCUAGUCUAAGUAUUUUGGGAUGGAGGGGGUAGUAGUUUAGCAACGAGUUGUUCUGUUUUGGAUUUUUAAUAUUAUUUUCGUACACUAACUAGCCCUAUAAAACGCAGGACUUGUUUUUGUUUUUGGGAAUUUUGUUUUCGGAGCAUGAACUACCGUAAACUUGGAUGUGGUAUCUGGUUUCACUAAUGAUAAUGUAACGCGUCCCUUGUUCAUCUAAAAAUACAUACAUGAUUUUUUCUUCUUUUUUGCAAUCAAAAGUACGGUAUUUCUUCCAGAUUCACAAGAUUACAAUCGGCAACGACUAGUUCAACAAUACAAGGGGGAGGUUGGUUAAGCCAACAUGCAGUGCUAUCCCCACUACGUCCAAUAUCCGCUAAACAAUUUGCAACCCUGUUUAGUUCACGAGAGAUUUUUACAUGAGUAAAUACUUUAUCUUCCAGAAGAACUUUUGUCUAUGCAAUCAAAUGGCCAUUCGCCGAUCUGUCUAAAGAACGGUCCUUGAACACCGACAAUGCUAUGGUGUUGUCAGACUCGAUCAUCAUUGGUAAGGCAGUCCAUAUAUAGGAAUGCCAAGCCAAGACCCUCCAUUAUCGCAUGUAGCCCCGACUCUAGUGCAUCAUUACAGUUGUAUAAUCGUAUGUAGGCCGCGAAAAUCAUCGCUCCCUUCUCAUCCCUCAAAAUCAUCCCAGUACCAGCUGAACCGUCCGCUUCAAUAAAACAUCCAUCUACAGAUAAUGCAAUCGAACCAAAAGGUUGGCAUGGCCAUCAUAGGCUCGGUGGCUUCGGUUUGGUAUGAGGCAACGGUCGUACGUCGAACACCGCAUAUUUUCCUUUUAUUACCUCCUGAACACUAAGUCGCCGCACUUGAAUCAAUGAGUUAAGAUAGCUUCUUAGGAACAAGCAAGACACUUUUAGGAGGAGAGGGGGGGGUGGAUUAAUGAUUUUUUCACUCGUGUCUUGAAAAUAAACCAGGAUCACGUUGACAUUUAUGUGAUCUUGCAGGGUGGAUUAGGGCAUCUCCAGCCGUGCCCCAGGACGCCCCCAAACACAUUUUUUAGCACCACGAUAGAAAAAAGUUCCAGCCAUGCCCCGACGAUGUUGUUUUGCGCCAGAUUUGAGGAAAACUAGCCUGGAAGAUCCCAGGCUGAACCCAGCCCCCCGGGGGCACUUAGGGCGUCUGGCACUGUUUCUGCAUGCACAAACCCCACGACGUCAUGAAUCGCCUUGCGUCGUGCCGUUCAAAUAGCCCACAACGUCACAACCACCUUGACGAACUGCUCAUGUGAUAAUGAACUCAAAAGAAAGACGUCAAUUUAUGAUAGAUUGGUUUGUUGCUCAACUUAGAUGGAUUGGCUAAUAUAGAAAGCCACGAUGCAUUCAUUGUAGAGUUUAGGUUAUAUUAUACGAAUAGAAACUAUGUCUUUUUAGGGUAAUAUCUAUAUCGAGUUUUGUGUUAAGCUGUCUAAAAUUUCCUAAGUUUUGGAGGAAGCUUUAGAAAACCUCUCUAUUCGAUUUAUCUUCGUGUAAAUUGUUUUGUGCGUGACUACCGUCGUCGAGAUUGGCUUUCUCGUACCGAGCCGUAAUUAAGGUUCAAACCCUCUACUUCGUGUGCAUCGCGUGCGCCGCGAGAGAUCGCUGCUACUGAAGCAACACAUCAAAUCUCACAUCCAGGUUCGGUCACAUCGCUGCUACUGAAGGUGCAGAAAGUUAUAUUUAUUAUUUUAUCCAAUGCAACGCACGGGCAUUUGUACCAGUAAUAGUCUAAUGGUUGCAUAUAUAAAAAGAAAGAAUUUAAACAAAAAAGCGAGGUGCUAAUGUCUAGCACAUGCCAACCCGAGGGAUGCAAUUGCGCUAUUUUUUUACGACUGUGCCCUCAUAGGGGAUCUUUUCACUGCAUUUUUUUGAUCCGUGUGCACUUAUCGGUGCUGGGUCACGGAUGGGCUCGGAGGCCAUCUUUUCGUCCGUGCGCACCUUUCGGCGCUGGGUCACGGGUUGGGCUCAGCGGCCUCUUUCAUUUAUGCGCUUAGGCAUCUUCCGCAGCUGACAACCGUGCACCAUCCCCGUGUUGGCCAUGCAGUGGGCAGAAUAGGGCCUAAUAUACCGGGCACGUCCUGAUUGAGCUUCCGGUACGGUACUAAUGUGUGCAGCGAUUCGCGCUGUCGAUUUCGCGUCCCGCACGCUGGCAACCCUGAAAAACUCGGUUCGGGCCCAAGUGAAACUGGGCCAGUUCUCGUGUCUUUCUCCUCCCCACCUCGAGCGACUCCUCCCCGUCGCCGACGGCCUAUUCCGGGGCAACCUCUACGCCUCACCUCGUCUCGUCUUCCUCCCAGAUCCAGCACGCAACGGUCGCCAUGGGCCUCGACGGCGCGCCGGUCUGCUCCAUCCCCAGUCAAAACCUCGAGUGGCCGUGCGUGAGGAGAGACUGCGGCCAGAACGACUGGAUUCACGCCGUCGUCAACAGCACCUGACGCCAUCAAGUUCCGCUGCUCCUUCGUCAUGAACAAGCAGCGGCCGACGCCACCAAGGACUGCUGCUGCAGGCACCGCCACUCCCAGCAUAUCAUCUCGAAGGCCUCUGUGUCCCCCUCCCAUGUCUUCCAUCUACAUCUCUGUGCCUUCUCCGUUUUUAUUAUCUUGUUUCCUUCGCUGAUGUUCCGCUGCAAGCACGACAAGGCUGGCCUACAUCUUGGAAAAAAACUGCUCUAGGUAAUCAGAUCAUGACGCCCUGCCUCAUACUCCAUCUUAAAUAAUUAAAUUCCUCUGUUUCGUCAUGUUACCAUACCACUGCUGUCAUCAGGUUUUACGACGUACUACUAUGUUAUCUCAUGCACAUUGAUUGGGUCUGAAAGGCAGUUUAGUUAGGCAACACUUGGUAAUCAUGCAAGUAAUUUUCAACUGUGUUGAUCUGUUUCUCUCUCUCGAAUUGAGGAGCCCAGCUACCAAUUUCAUUUUCAUGGAAAUGAGACUCAUAAUACAGGAUAUCUGUCACAGCUGACCAAUCAAAAAAAGACAGGUUCUGCAAAC
RNAcentral lists this long non-coding RNA (28152 nucleotides) under Hordeum vulgare. RNAcentral describes it as "long non-coding RNA (HVUL_LNC008273)". Lineage: Eukaryota; Viridiplantae; Streptophyta; Magnoliopsida; Poales; Poaceae. The record is from RNAcentral.